This 296-nucleotide unclassified non-coding RNA is filed under the name Hevea brasiliensis (rubber tree). The record is from RNAcentral. Lineage: Eukaryota; Viridiplantae; Streptophyta; Magnoliopsida; Malpighiales; Euphorbiaceae.
AACGAUCUGCUUCGCGGAAUUUAUGCCUAUGGGUUUGAGAAGCCGUCGGCAAUCCAGCAGAGGGCAGUUAUGCCCUUAAUCAAAGGCCGAGAUGUGAUAGCUCAGGCUCAAUCCGGUACUGGCAAGACCUCCAUGAUUGCGCUCACUGUUUGCCAACUCGUCGAUACCUCUAGCAGAGAGGUCCAGGCAUUGAUAUUGUCACCUACAAGAGAACUGGCUGCUCAGACGGAGAAAGUAAUAUUGGCCAUUGGUGAUUACAUUAAUAUCCAAGCACAUGCAUGCAUUGGAGGCAAAAG